Molecule: long non-coding RNA, 390 nt
Filed under: Oryzias javanicus (javanese ricefish)
Lineage: Eukaryota; Metazoa; Chordata; Actinopteri; Beloniformes; Adrianichthyidae
Description: lncRNA (ENSOJAG00000018948.1)
Source: RNAcentral
CAUAGACCUUUAAACUAGCAGAUCAUAACCACUGUUGUGUUCUGCGUAUUUUUACGCAGCUCUCCACCGCUGCGUAAUCUUUAUGUCCUCGCCAUAAAAGCCGCGCGCGCUGGCAGCCGGCGUGUCUGCGCAGCAUCAGGAGCAGCCUCGCAUCACUUUCUUCAUUCCGCUUCAUCUGACACAUUCAAAUGGGAGCUCGCUGCCUUCCGCUCCGACGCGGCGUCUGCGCGCAGCCAGCGAGCAGAGCGCACAUCUGAGGACGAAAUACGCAUGAAGAAAAUUAGUUUUUGUCUUUACAAACAUGAGGCUGCAAUGAUUGACAAGGCAGUGACAGAUCCUUUCCAGCAGGAUGUGCGUUUUCUUAUCACAUCCUCCUCCAGCUGCUUAUAA